GAUGAACGCUGGCGGCGUGCCUAAUACAUGCAAGUCGAGCGAACGGACGAGAAGCUUUCUUCUCUGAUGUUAGCGGCGGACGGGUGAGUAACACGUGGAUAACCUACCUAUAAGACUGGGAUAACUUCGGGAAACCGGAGCUAAUACCGGAUAAUAGUUUGAACCGCAUGGUUCAAAAGUGAAAGACUGUCUUGCUGUCACUUAUAGAUGGAUCCGCGCUGCAUUAGCUAGUUGGUAAGGUAACGGCUUACCAAGGCAACGAUGCAUAGCCGACCUGAGAGGGUGAUCGGCCACACUGGAACUGAGACACGGUCCAGACUCCUACGGGAGGCAGCAGUAGGGAAUCUUCCGCAAUGGGCGAAAGCAUGACGGAGCAACGCCGCGUGAGUGAUGAAGGUCUUCGGAUCGGAAAACUCUGUUAUUAGGGAAGAACAUAUGUGUAAGUAACUGUGCACAUCUUGACGGUACCUAAUCAGAAAGCCGCGGCUAACUACGUG
Molecule: ribosomal RNA, 497 nt
Filed under: uncultured bacterium
Lineage: Bacteria
Description: partial 16S ribosomal RNA
Rfam family: Bacterial small subunit ribosomal RNA
Source: RNAcentral